Molecule: ribosomal RNA, 188 nt
Filed under: Tomentella testaceogilva
Lineage: Eukaryota; Fungi; Basidiomycota; Agaricomycetes; Thelephorales; Thelephoraceae
Description: partial 28S ribosomal RNA
Rfam family: Eukaryotic large subunit ribosomal RNA
Source: RNAcentral
UUUGAACGUUCGAUCUCAAAUCAGGUAGGACUACCCGCUGAACUUAAGCAUAUCAAUAAGCGGAGGAAAAGAAACUAACAAGGAUUCCCCUAGUAACUGCGAGUGAAGCGGGAAGAGCUCAAUUUAAAAUCUGGCGUGCCUCUGGUCGUCCGAGUUGUAGUCUAGAGAAGUGUUUCCGUGCUGGACGG